This 489-nucleotide ribosomal RNA is filed under the name uncultured bacterium. Its description in RNAcentral is "partial 16S ribosomal RNA". It matches the Rfam family "Bacterial small subunit ribosomal RNA", at positions 29 to 507 of the family's 1533-position model. The record is from RNAcentral.
AUUGAACGCUGGCGGCAUGCCUUACACAUGCAAGUCGAACGGCAUCGCGGGAAAGCUUGCUUUCCUGGCGGCGAGUGGCGAACGGGUGAGUAACACAUCGGAACGUACCGGCUAGUGGGGGAUAACCCGUCGAAAGACGGGCUAAUACCGCAUACGCUCUUCGGAGGAAAGCAGGGGACCUUUGGCCUUGCGCUAGCCGAGCGGCCGAUGUCCGAUUAGCUAGUUGGUGGGGUAAAGGCCUACCAAGGCGACGAUCGGUAGCGGGUCUGAGAGGACGAUCCGCCACACUGGGACUGAGACACGGCCCAGACUCCUACGGGAGGCAGCAGUGGGGAAUCUUGGACAAUGGGGGCAACCCUGAUCCAGCAAUGCCGCGUGGGUGAAGAAGGCCUUCGGGUUGUAAAGCCCUUUCGGCAGGGAAGAAAUCGGCGGGGCGAAUAACCCUGCUGGAUGACGGUACCUGCAGAAGAAGCACCGGCUAACUACGUG